Molecule: long non-coding RNA, 1645 nt
Filed under: Homo sapiens (human)
Lineage: Eukaryota; Metazoa; Chordata; Mammalia; Primates; Hominidae
Description: HSALNT0327803
Source: RNAcentral
AUAAACACUGCCAGCUUUGAGUGGGACUCAGAGCAAAGAAGUGCUCUGUAGCAGGUCCAAGGUAAGGUGCAGCAGCCUUGAUGUGUGGGCCAUAUGGCCUGACAGAUCCGGUGCUAUUAGAGGAAACUGUGGUAGGAAAAGUUGCUGUGUGAGAUUGCUGGCUACAUCUGGUAGGAUAACUGCAAUAGACCCCCAGGGUUCAGGAGCAAGGCCAUGAUCUCUGCAGUAGAGAGUUAUACAGCCUUCAGAAGUAUAGUUCCUGUUGUGUUGCUGGACCCUAGUUGAAACAGCAUUCCUGACAAUGAGACAACAAGUGACCCUAUGACCGGAACUUCCCAUUAUAAGCUGGUUUUUGUUAGACCAUCUACAUGAUGAACUGUCAGCAGUUUAUCCUAAGAAGGAAGUGGUAUGUCUGGAAUCAGUCAUAAGCAGGGCCAGAGGUCAUAAUAUGUAUGAAUGAGUGGCCCAGUCGUCCAUGAAAUCCAUUGGUGUUCCACUGAUGCCUCUCCCUCAAUUAACUAUUGCAGCUGCUGUACCAGUUAAAGCAGUCUAUAACCGCUUACAGAGAAGGGAAAAGGUGAAGCUUGGUUCAUAGACGGAUUUACUCUUUAUGCGGUGCAAGCUAGAAAUGUAUUACUAUUGCAUUACAAACAUAUCUGGGAGUGGCCCUGAAAUACAGUAGGGGCAUGGGAAAUUCUCCCAGUGGACAAAGCUGUAGGAUUGAGUAAAAUAUACAUAUGAACUCAUAGACAGUGGUGAAUAUUUUGGCUGUCUGUUCAGGGGCAUAGAAAAUGAAAUAUUGGGCUGGACGCAUGUGGCUAGACCUAAGAAGCCUUAGAGAGCUUGAGUGUAAAUUGUGAAGAUCUUUGUAUCAAAUGGUUGUAAUAAUCCAUCAUGGAAUAAGCACUAAACAAUCAAGGAGAAGAACCAGCCAUCUUCUUCAUCCACCAACCACGUGCUGGCACAAUGAACAGCAUGAACAAUGAACAGCAUGACCAUGGCAGCAGGGAUGAAAGCUAUGCAUGGGCUCAACAAUGUGGCCUCCCUCUUACGAAGACUGAUCUAGCUCCUGCUAUUGCUGAAGAUUCAACCUGCUGGCAACAGAGACCAAAGGAAAUAGGACCAAUCAGAAUCCCAGAAAACCUGUCUGGAGUAAACUUAUAUGAAGCAAGUGAAUCCAAAAGGGACAAUGGUGAACUGCAGUGGAUGCCGUAGCUCAUUACCCAGAGUCCACCUUCUGGGACAGCAGUACCUAGCUGCUGGGAUUGUUGCCUGCUGAUGGCUCGCAGUUGAAUCACUCCCCUGCAAUUGCCUUCAAAAGGGAACUGCCGUGACCAUGGUUAUGCUCCGUUUCUAGUGGGGAAUUUCAUAUCCAAUUAGUGGUCUAUGUGUAGGCGCAAAGGUCCAGUCACCUCUACUAAUUCAGGAUAUCUCUGAAGCACUAUCUCAGCUUCAGAGCUCUCCAUGGGAGUGACUGAGACCUCAUAACACAGGAUAAGUGCUCCCUUUGCCUAAUCUUGCUUCCCUUACUUCAUUGGAGGUGUUGUUCCCAAGAUCAUUUCCAUAAAACAUUUGCACUCAGUCUCUGAUUCAGAGUCUGUUUUCUACAGAUCCUGACCAUGUAAAAUACAUUAAUUUGACUUUU